Molecule: non-coding RNA, 29 nt
Filed under: Mus musculus (house mouse)
Lineage: Eukaryota; Metazoa; Chordata; Mammalia; Rodentia; Muridae
Source: RNAcentral
UACUUCUGUCUGCUCUAUUUCACUGGAUC